This is a long non-coding RNA of Uranotaenia lowii, 883 nucleotides long. RefSeq lists it as uncharacterized. NCBI's taxonomy places the organism in Eukaryota, Metazoa, Arthropoda, Insecta, Diptera, Culicidae. The transcript is spliced from 2 exons. The record is from RefSeq and is a predicted model, not a curated record.
AUAAGAUGUGGGUUGUGUAACGGAGGAUAUAAUUAGGGAAAAAUAAAUAUGUUUGAGAAUAUAUAGAAGAUAUAGAAAAGGCUAUUGCAUAGCCCCGCGGAGAUAUCUAUAACGAUUGCUUCUCGUUUUACGUGAAAGAGUUAAAGAGAGCGAGCUGAGUAAUUGAGUACUGAGGUAUUUGAUGAAGGAGAACAGGGAGAGUGUGUACCCGAAUAGACCAAGACCAUGGUUCUAUAUUGUAAUAACAAUGGUUUUCGUCUUAACAAUGAAAAACAAUGUAAAAUCUCAAUCCCUUUAAAAAGUUAAAUUAGGGUUUUAUUUUGAAAUUACCAUAAAUAUGGCGAUAACCAUGAAAAAUAUGGUUAAUACAUAAUAUUUCACUGUAUGUAUUACCUAGACAGCUGGGACUUCAAGAUGAGCGUGUACGGUUUGUUGCAUUGAGGAAAAUUUUCAUUCCAAUAGGCGCCAUAUUUAACAUUUGUUAUGGUCGGAACCAGGUUAUUCCGGACAAUUUCAGCUGGAAAUAGCUGAAAGAUUGGAAUCGGAAGGCGACGGCACGGAUUCUGGUGGUAGCGCGAGGCAGAUGGAGAGAACAGAGUAUCACAGAGCUAAGUGCUUGAGACGUGGGCGCAUCAUGGCACAACCCGUGCUUAUUAUUCGCACAUCCGGAGCCUGGGGUUAGAAUGGGAGCCAGAGCCGUUUCCCGAGAAUAAUUCCGCGAGUGGUAGUGAGCCGGUGUGCAGUGCAGAUCAUGAAAAUCAAUCAAAUUAGUGCCAAUUUAGUGUAUCCCAGUGUAUUAAUUUUUUUUUCUAAAAACUCGGAUUAUCAUGUGUAUGUGAAUCAAGUGUUAAAAAUAAAUAAUAAAUGUAUAUAAAUUAACCUA